This 467-nucleotide ribosomal RNA is filed under the name uncultured bacterium. RNAcentral's name for it is "partial 16S ribosomal RNA". It matches the Rfam family "Bacterial small subunit ribosomal RNA", at positions 29 to 507 of the family's 1533-position model. The record is from RNAcentral.
ACGAACGCUGGCGGCGUGCUUAACACAUGCAAGUCGAACGGAAAGGCCCUGCUUUUGUGGGGUGCUCGAGUGGCGAACGGGUGAGUAACACGUGAGUAACCUGCCCUUGACUUUGGGAUAACUUCAGGAAACUGGGGCUAAUACCGGUUAGGAGCUCCUGCUGCAUGGGGGGGGUUGGAAAGUUUCGGCGGUUGGGGAUGGACUCGCGGCUUAUCAGCUUGUUGGUGGGGUGGUGGCUUACCAAGGCUUUGACGGGUAGCCGGCCUGAGAGGGUGACCGGCCACAUUGGGACUGAGAUACGGCCCAGACUCCUACGGGAGGCAGCAGUGGGGAAUAUUGCACAAUGGGCGGAAGCCUGAUGCAGCAACGCCGCGUGCGGGAUGACGGCCUUCGGGUUGUAAACCGCUUUCGCCUGUGACGAAGCGUGAGUGACGGUAAUGGGUAAAGAAGCACCGGCUAACUACGUG